CAACUAUAUGUAUCGUCUACAUUGUAAAAGAUUAACAGUAUGUGAUUAAAUAUUAUACAAAAAUUCAACUUUUGAAAGCUUAAUAAGAAAAAAGGGUUAAGUUCAUUAUUAAAAAAAUUAUUAAUUAGCUAUUUUUAAUUUAAUAGAACCUGCGCCAAAUGAUGAGGAUGAAGAAGAGGAUGAAGAAGAUGAAUCUGAAGAAGAAGUUCAAGAUUGGGAUAGCCAGAGUGAAGAGGAUUCUGAUUGGUCCAAUGAUGAAGUCAAAGGAAAGAAAGCAAAGACUAAAGAGGAAGAGAACAAAAAGAAGGAAAUUGAUUUGCCUAAGAAUCAGCAGCAAAAUCAAAAGAAGAAAGAGAAACCAGCCAAAUCAAAGAAUUUGUGUAACUCAAAAGUUAUUAAUCAUUGUGUGAAAAAGCCAUUAAAUUUACCUGCAUCAAAAUUACGAUUGGGAUUAUCACGUAAAGCUGUUAUUAAACCUUUGCAUCCUCAAGUUACAAC
Molecule: long non-coding RNA, 498 nt
Filed under: Androctonus crassicauda
Lineage: Eukaryota; Metazoa; Arthropoda; Arachnida; Scorpiones; Buthidae
Source: RNAcentral